This 254-nucleotide ribosomal RNA is filed under the name uncultured bacterium. RNAcentral's name for it is "partial 16S ribosomal RNA". It matches the Rfam family "Bacterial small subunit ribosomal RNA", at positions 524 to 776 of the family's 1533-position model. The record is from RNAcentral.
UACGGGGGGGGGCAAGCGUUGUUCGGAAUUACUGGGCGUAAAGGGCUCGUAGGCGGCCAACUAAGUCAGACGUGAAAUCCCUCGGCUUAACCGGGGAACUGCAUCUGAUACUGGAUGGCUUGAGAUUGGGAGAGGGGUGCGGAAUUCCAGGUGUAGCGGUGAAAUGCGUAGAUAUCUGGAGGAACACCGGUGGCGAAGGCGGCAUCCUGGACCAACACUGACGCUGAGGAGCGAAAGCCAGGGGAGCAAACGGG